CUACGGGAGGCUGCAGUGAGGAAUAUUGCACAAUGGGGGGAACCCUGAUGCAGCAACGCCGCGUGGAGGAUGACGCAUUUCGGUGUGUAAACUCCUUUUAUAUGUCAAGAAAAUGACGGUAGCAUAUGAAUAAGCACCGGCUAACUCCGUGCCAGCAGCCGCGGUAAUACGGAGGGUGCAAGCGUUACUCGGAAUCACUGGGCGUAAAGGACGCGUAGGCGGGCUUGUAAGACAGGUGUGAAAUCCUACAGCUUAACUGUAGAACUGCACUUGAAACUACGAGCCUAGAGUAUGGGAGGGGCAGAUGGAAUUAGUGGUGUAGGGGUAAAAUCCGUAGAUAUCACUAGGAAUACCUAAAGCGAAGGCGAUCUGCUGGAACAUAACUGACGCUAAGGCGUGAAAGCGUGGGGAGCAAACAGGAUUAGAUACCCUUGUAGUC
RNAcentral lists this ribosomal RNA (439 nucleotides) under uncultured bacterium. RNAcentral describes it as "partial 16S ribosomal RNA". It matches the Rfam family "Bacterial small subunit ribosomal RNA", at positions 339 to 795 of the family's 1533-position model. The record is from RNAcentral.